AUUAAUAUCUAAUAGUUUACUCUAUACAUUGAAGAUCUUAUGAUGAAGCCUAAUACGGUAGUGCGGCGUACCCAGAUUUGAUGCAUGCAGUCUUUGUGAUCAAGUUUAUAUUCAAGUGUAGAUGGUGACUAUACUGGGCUAUUUUGUAAAAGGCAUCUAUGACUUUAUAUAUUUACUCCUAACUGCAGAUAAGAUUUCAUUUCAACUCUGGAUACCAGAUAUAACUUGACAAUUUAUGCUUAAGAAUAUGAAAACCAAAACUUUUUUCACUCGAAAGAAAGAAGGAGACAGUAGAAAGGUUUAUUGUUUCAUUUAAUGAAUUAAGACUGUCUUUAUGAACCCAAUAGAAAAUUAUUUGGAAUCUGCUCACUACAAAAUGCAUUGGAAUAGGACAAGCUAUAAUAGGAAAAACUUGUUGACCUGGAGAGUGCAUCAUUAUACACUAGUUCAUUUUUAAAGAUAAAACAGUGGAGUUAAAUUAACAGCUGAAUUUCAUCAUCCAGUUUAUGUCUGUUUAAAUAAGCUUUGUGUCUUUUCACAUGAUUGAAACAUCCUGUACUGACAUUUUUAGCAUUUGCAGAAGCAAUAGUUUCCUCUGGAUCAUCAUGCACCAUCGCUACAAGAGGUGUAUUAAAGGUAGAGAGGAUGAUGUUCAGACCUAAAGCAAUAUAAAAAUCAUACCAGUACUUAUCAAACAAUGGAAACUCCAGGUAGGGAUAUCAACAAUGUAGGAAAAGACAGAUUGCUACUUACCUUAAAGAAGACAUGUUAAGUUGCAGAUAGGCAUGAUUAAAAGACACUUACGUAGAGCUUUCAGCCACAGCCUUCAUCAGUAAAGAAAAGCACACACGAUUCACACACACAAUCAAGCACACACGACUGCCAAUUCCAGCAUCUCAGGCCGGAAUGCAUUCUGGCUUGAGAUGAUGGUGUUGGCAGUCGUGUGUGCUUGGGGUGUGCUUGCAUGUGGGUGUGAAUGGUACGUGUGUCUCCUUUACUGGUGAAGGCUGUUGCCAAAAACUCUAUGUGAGUGUAUUUUAAUUGUACCUGUCUGAAACUUGACACAUCUUCUUUAUGGUAAGUAGCAUUUUAGUACUUAUCCAUUUGUAGAUUUCCAACUUUCCAAAUUCUCUUCACAGUGCUUCAUACAUGUAAUAAUAUGAAAUUUACUGUCAUAGCAUUCCUUUUGAAGAACUUAAGUGAUAAUAAUUUUGUUGUUGUUAUGAAAUUGCUGAUUUCAGCUGCUGUGUCAUGCUUAGUUUGAUUACAGUUGUCACAUGAAGAUACCAUAUCCUUUCCUUCAAUUCUUGAAAAUAGUCUGUUCAUUUGUACCAGAAACAGUUGAAUUGUGCUUGAAAACUGUGUAUUGCCGAGUUUCACUGGUUUUUGUGUACUGAGGAACAAAAUGUGAGUCUUCUUUUCUACUGAAUACUUGGUUACCUAGUCAUUUUACAUCAGAAAAUUCUGUCUUUAUUAAAUUUUAAUGAUCCAAAACACUACAUACCGUUGAAGAAAUCAUGGAAAAUCACUGUUGGUAACUACUGUAAAGUGAGAAAUUUAUUAUUAAAGACCUAUAUAAUAAUAUGCCCUGAAACCAAAACUGUUAUUAUGCACUACUUAUACUGUACACAGAUGAAUGCAACAUUUUAUAUAAUUUAUGCAUUGUGCAUCUCACAAACCAAAAGAUAUACCUCCUUUUACAGAACAAAGCAUAGGUUAGGCAAAUCUGAGACUGUGCUUGCCUCAUAAUUGUUGUAAUUUGAAUUAUAUUGUAAUUUUAGUUGACAGAAAAAUACCUGUAAUUACCUGUGAUGAGGUAUUUGGAACUCAGGAGAUUUUCAUUGCCACUAUCAAUUUCUUUAGAACUUUCAGUGCUAAUGUUUUACCACUUAUUUUAGUUUGCCAUUACCAGUAAUCAAAAUUAUAUGAAGCUUUUGAAGUUAGUGAAAACAGAACCAUAAACAUGUCGGUGAACAAAGGAACCCUUUGUCAUUUCCAAGUGCCAUUUGUUUGUUGUCAGUGCCAAGCACAUUACCUGAAUUGUUCAUGUAACUUCAUGAAAGUUAACAUGAAGAUAAGGAAUAAAAAGUAGUGAAAACCUGUAGGAGAACUAACAAUGAAUCAUGUAUGCACUCCAUGCAAUGCAGCAUUAAUUUCUGUAUCAUGAGCUGACAGAGUUGGGAGUCUGAUCAUAGUGUUCUUCAUUUUUGUUUUGUUUCUCCCUUACCAUUCGCUGUUAGUUCGUAGAUCUUCAAAAGGAGAAUGUAAUAAAAUUUUGUGGCAGAUUAAAACUUUAUGUUGGCUAGAACUCAAACCCAAAACCACAACAUUCACAUGCAGUGCUCCUACUCAUUGCGCCAUGCAGGUGAGACUCACAAUUAAUGCUGCCAGUUUUUGUACUGCCAAUAUCUCUCUGCGACAUUCCAGAUUUAUCAGAAGUCCUGCUGCCCACCAUGCUGAACUAAGACUUCUGAAAUAAAUUUUUAAUUUGCCAGGAAGUUUCGGAACAAUUCACACUCCACACUAUAGUUAUGGAACUGUAGACCAACAGAAUUAAUUGCUUAAUUGUGAUGAAUGACUUGUGGCUGCCUGAGACAUUAAUGACAAGCAGCUCUGUGUCUGGAGUUUACUCUGAUGUAUUCGACUACAACUCAAAGAGGUACAGGUGCACACAAUGUAGUAAAACUUACAUGUGGAAGACUACUUUGGCAAGACAUGUAAAAUAUGAAUGUGGCAAACCUCCACAGUUUCAGUGUCCUUUUUGCCAGAAAAGAAGUCAUAGGAAGAGCAAUAUUGAACAGCACAUCCGGUGUCACCACAGAAUGUAAUGAAUUGUUUCAGGAUUGAUAAAUGUUGAGGAAUGAAAAUAAAGAAAUGAGUGUAUUUCUACUUAAAAUUUUAAUGUACACUGAAAAUAUAAGAUUGAUGUCAGUGAUUUGUAAUAUAAAUAAAUUCUCUAUUAGAAAGUUAUUUUCUUUCUGUUAGGGACUAAUAAUUCAUGAAUACAGAGAGCUCCAGAGACAAUUUUAUGAACAAUGCACAUACUAGAUCAUGUAUUUAUAAAAAUAUGUGAUCUAGACAGUUCUUUGUUCGUAAAAUUAUGAAAAAGAUCACUAUUUUCUCUUGGUGACACAGAGCCACCUCUCUGUAUUAAAGACUGUGUGAAAAUUCAGUUGUUGAACAUGGGGUAUUGCAGUCAUGCUAUUCUUCAUUGUACCGGAAUAUAACUUUAACUGUUAUUCAA
Schistocerca nitens (vagrant locust) is the source of this 3244-nucleotide RNA transcript. It is a transcript of the gene named longitudinals lacking protein-like, with no coding region annotated. NCBI's taxonomy places the organism in Eukaryota, Metazoa, Arthropoda, Insecta, Orthoptera, Acrididae. The transcript is spliced from 2 exons. The record is from RefSeq and is a predicted model, not a curated record.